GCAAGGCAACCACAGAGGCAAAGGUCGAACCCGUACGAGGUCAAUACCUAGUUAAAUGCAUAACAGGCCAAUUUUUGGGGUGUCAGAUCACCCCUCAAAGGCAGCCUUCUUUGGGGAAAAAUAAGCGUGCUCUUUCUUCUAUGCUGUUUCCCUAGAGGGAGCCACUGAGACUGUGGACGCCUGCUCACACGCUGAUGUCAGUGCCAGCCCACACCAUAUAGGGCCCCCGGGACACGGAUCUGCUUUCAUUUGUGCUCCUACACACAAGUUCCCUCAUCUGGGAAAGCUCUCAUUUUCAUCUGGAUCCUGCCAUGCUCUCCAGUCUUCUCCGCAUAGCAUCGCUGUGUCUCCUGGGAGCAAGGUACAUAUCAGCUGAAGUCUCCCAGUCCCCCAGCCACAGGGUCAUAGAGAAGAAACAGGCUGUGAAUCUGAGUUGUGACCCUAUUUCUGGACAUGAAUCUCUUUUUUGGUACUACCAUGCUACGGGGAAAGAAAUGAAGCUUCUGAUUUACUUCCUAAGAGAGUCUAUGCAGGAUGACUCAGGGAUGCCCAAAGGCCGAUUCACAGCAGAAAGGACGGAAGGGACGUCUUCUACGCUGAGGGUCCACUCUGCAGAGCUGGGUGACUCGGGAGUUUAUUUCUGUGCCAGCAGCCGAGACACAGUGCUUCAGAGUUCUGUCCUUUCUGUGCAAAACCACAUCCUAUCUGCUCCUCUCAAGUCAGGCAGCCCUGAACAGAAGUCUUUCCCUGUGCCGCCUCUCCAAGGAAGAGAGGAGAGGAAUAACUGGAAUUAGCCGUUGAAACUCAAGAGUAUUUUUAAAAAAUGUAACUGGGGAUAUCUGUGGCUUGGGAGACUCCUGGGGCUCCUCACAUAGAGCUCAACCUAUGCAAAUCUAUUUGUUUUCAUUUAGCUUAUUGAAGUAUAGAUGAUUUACAAUGCUGUGUUAAUUUCUACUGCACAGCAGUGACCCAGUUACACACACACACACACACACACACACACACACACAUACGUUCUUUUUCAUUUUCUUUCCAUUAUGCUUCAUCACAAGAUAUUUAAUAAAGUUCCCUGUGCUGUACAGUAGGAUCUUUUUGUCUAUCCAUUCUAUAUAUACUAGUUUGCAUC
Bubalus bubalis (water buffalo) is the source of this 1126-nucleotide non-coding RNA. The record is from the annotation of a RefSeq genome assembly. Lineage: Eukaryota; Metazoa; Chordata; Mammalia; Artiodactyla; Bovidae.